Molecule: RNA transcript, 1283 nt
Organism: Xiphias gladius (swordfish)
Lineage: Eukaryota; Metazoa; Chordata; Actinopteri; Istiophoriformes; Xiphiidae
Gene name: PRELI domain containing protein 3B-like
Exons: 7
Source: RefSeq, a predicted model, not a curated record
CCCUCCCUUCUCGCUCACUCCGGUCACGCUGUCACCAGUCGCCGGCUCCCGAGCCCUGACGGAAAAGCCUGUGAAAAUGAAGAUCUGGGCGUCAGAGCACAUUUUCAACCACCCAUGGGAGACGGUGACCAAGGCGGCGAUGCAGAAGUACCCCAACCCCAUGAACCCCAGUGUGUUUGGUGUGGAUGUUCUGGACAGACGUGUGGAUACAGAGGGACGGUUACACAGCACCAGACUGCUCAGCACAGAGUGGGGGCUGCCCGCCAUGGCCAAGUCUAUCAUUGGGGUGACAAGAACAUGCACUUAUGUUCAGGAGCAUUCAGUAGUGGACCCCAAAGAGAAGACAUUGGAGCUCAAAUCUACAAAUAUCUCCUUCACUAACCUGGUAUCUGUGGACGAGAAGUUGACAUACAAACCACAUCCUCAGGACCCUGAAAAGACGGUGCUGACACAGGAGGCUCUGAUCAGUGUGAAAGGUGUCAGUCUGAGCAGCUACCUCGAGGGUCUCAUGGCCAAGACCAUCUCUGUCAACGCCGGCAAGGGUCGGGAGGCGAUGGAGUGGGUCAUCAGACGAUUAAACACAGAAAUCGAGGAGUUGGCGGCGACCGCUCGUGGCACGAUGCGUGUUCCCAUGGCAGCGGCUGUUGCAGACAAAUGAUCCCGGUCUACCCCGCUGAUCUCUCCACCAUCAUGAACCGAUGGAAUUCUCAAACGUUUUCCCCUCAAAGGGGGCCUCUCAUCUGCCAGCACAGCCUAAUAACCACAGCCCCAUCCUUUUGACAUUGUACUAUGGACAGUUCUACAAAAUUACUUUAAAGACGGUUUGUGGUAUAACUACAACUAUUUUUCAUUGUUAACACCGUCUCCUGAUGGAGAUCAGCAGCAUCACAAGUCUUCCAGGAUGCUCCACAGUCAGUUUCUUGCUCGACUGUCAAGAUCUAAGUUAGUUCAGUCUUUUUCACACUUGCUUCCGGUUCAGCCGAGCUUCUUUUUAACGGCUGGUUCAUAGUUAACUUUCCUUCCCACCGUGUUCAAGAUCAUUCUGUUAAAAGUCUGGCCUGCUGCCUAACUGACCGAUCAGCCAAUCACUAUCCAUACAGCAUCUCCUUUCAUGAAUGAAGUGUGAUAUUUUUCUAUGGGGAACAUUUUAAGAACAAGUGGCUGUAAAUAGGCUUAUAUUUAUAUUUUGGUUGUGUUACAUUCCAAUAAUGUGAACAUGUAACAGAAUCUGAAGAGUGCACACUGAAAUGUUUCAAAAUAAAGAGAUGGCAUUGUUUCAUGAA